UAAAUUAAAGACUUCUGGGCCCCACCCCAGAGAUUCUAAAGAUAUGAGUUGAAGGCCAGGAAUCUGCAUUUUAAACAAACCUCCAGAUGGAUUGGCACAUGUGG
Molecule: microRNA precursor, 104 nt
Filed under: Ovis aries (sheep)
Lineage: Eukaryota; Metazoa; Chordata; Mammalia; Artiodactyla; Bovidae
Description: miRNA (ENSOARG00000021562.1)
Source: RNAcentral